RNAcentral lists this long non-coding RNA (1143 nucleotides) under Oryctolagus cuniculus (rabbit). Its description in RNAcentral is "lncRNA (ENSOCUG00000032809.1)". Lineage: Eukaryota; Metazoa; Chordata; Mammalia; Lagomorpha; Leporidae. The record is from RNAcentral.
AUGGCCAACCCUGUGUACCUUGGCCUGCCCCUCAGCUGCACACCUGUACCUGCACACACGGCCUCUGCACACUUGGCCUGCACACACCUGUGCAUACCUAUAUCUGCACACACCUGGCCUCUGCACAUCUGUGCCUCCACACCUGUAACUGCACAUCUGUACCUGUACACCAGGCCUCUGUGCCUGUGCACAACUGUGCCUGUGCACACCUGUGCCUGCGCACCUGUACCUCCGCAUGCCUGUGCCUUCACACCUGUACCUCUGCAUGCCUGUGCCUGUACACCUGGCCUCUGCACUCCUGGCCUGCACACACCUGUGCCUGCACACCUGUACCUGUGCACCUGGCCUACACACACCUGGCCUGCACACACCUGUGCCUGUACACCUGUACCUCUGCAUGCCUGUACCUCUGCACACCUGGCCUCCACACACCUGUGCCUGUACAACUGGCCUCUACACUUCUGGCCUGCACACACCUGUUCCUGCACACCUGUACCUGUACACCUGGCCUACACACACCUGGCCUGCACACACCUGUGCCUCCACAUACCUGUGCCUGCACACCUGUACCUGUGCAACUGGCCUCUUCACACCUGGCCUGCACACACCUGUGCCUGUACACAUCUGUGCCUACACACCUGGCCUCUGCACACUUGGCAUCCACACACCUGUGCCUGCACACCUGUACCUCUGCAUGCCUGUACCUGUACACCUGGCCUCUGCACACCUAUGCCUGCACAUACUUUUGCCUCUGCACACCUGUACCUGUAUACCUGGCCUCUGCAUGCCUGGCCUACACACACCUGGCCUGCACACACCUGUGCCUGUACGCCUAUACCUCUGCAUGCCUGUACCUGCACACCUGGCCUGCACAUGCCUGGCCUUCACACAUCUGGCCUGCACACCUGUACCUGUACACCUGUGCCUGCACACCUGGUCUCAGAAGCAGCUCGCCUUGAUAGCUUCUCAGGCUGCUCUCUGGUGGCCACCCCACCCAGCAAGGUGAGUGCCCAGAUGUCUGGCCAAGUGGGGGCUGAAAGCCCCCGCUCUGGAAAGGCCUGGACUCCAGGGAGGAACAGCCCCCCACUGCAACAUAGGUACCCUGGGCUGAGGACCCCAGCCCCACUGCCCACCCACCCAUAG